Tachyglossus aculeatus (Australian echidna) is the source of this 381-nucleotide long non-coding RNA. RefSeq lists it as uncharacterized. The record is from RefSeq and is a predicted model, not a curated record. Lineage: Eukaryota; Metazoa; Chordata; Mammalia; Monotremata; Tachyglossidae. The transcript is spliced from 3 exons.
CACCAACAGCUCUUCUACUUCCCAGGUUUCAUGCCACAGAGGGAAGCUGGUGUGAAUUGGGCAUUAGGACCAUGUUCUAACAGCCCCCAGAAGCACCAUUAGACCACAUCCAUUCCUGCUUUGAUGCCACAGCAUGCUGUUCAGUGAAAUCCAAGCACUAGGACUACCCUGACCACUUCAGAGCAGGUGCUGAAUGCAUUACUUGGCUUCAAGGACCAUACCUGUGUCAUUUUGGAUCAUCAGAUCAAACUUCAGACCUGUCUUGCCACUGUGAUGGAGCUGUAGGCUGUACUGUCACUUCAAAGGGAAGGUGUCUUGGUUUUUAUUUAUUUAUUUUUUUGUGGGUGUGUGUAAAGGCCUAAAGUUAACAGGGCUGGGGGA